GUCUACGGCCAUGCCACCCUGGACAAGCUCGAUUUCGUAUGAUCUCGGAAGCUAAGCAGAGUCGGGCCUGGUUAGUACUUGGAUGGGAGACCACCUAGGAAGACCAGGUGCUGUAGGCU
Molecule: ribosomal RNA, 119 nt
Filed under: Pteropus alecto (black flying fox)
Lineage: Eukaryota; Metazoa; Chordata; Mammalia; Chiroptera; Pteropodidae
Source: RNAcentral